RNAcentral lists this ribosomal RNA (405 nucleotides) under uncultured bacterium. RNAcentral describes it as "partial 16S ribosomal RNA". It matches the Rfam family "Bacterial small subunit ribosomal RNA", at positions 28 to 526 of the family's 1533-position model. The record is from RNAcentral.
GAUGAACGCUGGCGGCGUGCCUAAUACAUGCAAGUCGAGCGAAGCGGGGACGGGUGAGUAACACGUGGAUAACCUCAUAUAAGACUAGGAUCACUUAGGGAAACCGGAGCCAGACCGGAUCCUUAUAGAUGGAGCCGAGCUGCAUUAGCUAGUGGGUAAGGAAACGGCUUACCAGGGCAACGAUGCAUAGCCGACCUGAGAGGUUGAGCGUCCACAUUGGACCUGAGACACGGUCAAGACUCCGACGGGAGGCAGCAGUAGGGAAUCUUCCGCAAGGGGCGAAAGCCUGACGGAGCAACGCCGCGUGAGUGAUGAAGGUCUUCGGAUCGUAAAACUCUGUUAUUAGGGAAGCGGUACCUAAUCAGAAAGCCACGGCUAACUACGUGCCAGCAGCCGCGGUAAUUC